GCCCAUGUAGCUCAGUGGUAGAGCACACCCUUGGUAAGGGUGAGGUCGCCGGUUCGGCUCCGGUCAUGGGCUCCA
RNAcentral lists this transfer RNA (75 nucleotides) under Oligoflexia bacterium. RNAcentral describes it as "tRNA-Thr". It matches the Rfam family "tRNA". From Rfam's summary of the family: Transfer RNA (tRNA) molecules are approximately 80 nucleotides in length. Their secondary structure includes four short double-helical elements and three loops (D, anti-codon, and T loops). The record is from RNAcentral. Lineage: Bacteria; Pseudomonadati; Bdellovibrionota; Oligoflexia.